GAUGAACGCUGGCGGCGUGCCUAAUACAUGCAAGUCGAGCGAACGGACGAUAAGCUUGCUUCUCUGAUGUUAGCGGCGGACGGGUGAGUAACACGUGGAUAACACACUUAUAUUACUUGGAUAACUUCGGGAAACCAGAUCUAAUACUGGAUAAUACUUUGAACGGCAUGGUUCAAAAGUUAUUGACGGUCUUCCCGUCACUUAUAGCUGGUUCCGCGCUGCAUUAGCUAGUUGGUAAGGUAACGGCUUACCAAGGCAACGAUGCAUAGCCGACCUGAGAGGAUGAUCGGCCACACUGGAACUGAGACACGGUCCAGACUCCUACGGGAGGCAGCAGUAGGGAAUAUUCCGCAAUGGGCGAAAGCCUGACCGAGCAAUGCCGCGUGAGUGAUGAAGGUCUUCGGAUCGUAAAGCUCUGUUAUUAGGGAAGAACAUAUGUGUAAGUAAAUGUGCACAUCUUGACGGUACCUAAAGAGAAAGCCACGGCUAACUACGUG
RNAcentral lists this ribosomal RNA (497 nucleotides) under uncultured bacterium. RNAcentral's name for it is "partial 16S ribosomal RNA". It matches the Rfam family "Bacterial small subunit ribosomal RNA", at positions 28 to 507 of the family's 1533-position model. The record is from RNAcentral.